Molecule: ribosomal RNA, 460 nt
Filed under: uncultured bacterium
Lineage: Bacteria
Description: partial 16S ribosomal RNA
Rfam family: Bacterial small subunit ribosomal RNA
Source: RNAcentral
CCUACGGGGGGCAGCAGUGAGGAAUAUUGGUCAAUGGGCGUAAGGCUGAACCAGCCAAGUCGCGUGAGGGAAGACUGUCCUAUGGAUUGUAAACCUCUUUUGUGCGGGGGUAAAAGAGGCCACGCGUGGCGUUUUGCAAGUACCGCAAGAAUAAGCAUCGGCUAACUCCGUGCCAGCAGCCGCGGUAAUACGGAAGGUCCGGGCGUUAUCCGGAUUUAUUGGGUUUAAAGGGAGCGCAGGCGGGAGUUUAAGUCAGCCGUGAAAUUUGGUGGCUCAACCAUGUGCGUGCGGUGAAAACUGGUGAUCUUGAGUGCGUGGAAGGUAGGCGGAAUGCGUGGUGUAGCGGUGAAAUGCAUAGAUAUCACGCAGAACUCCGAUUGCGAAGGCAGCAUGCCGGAGCUUUACUGACGCUGAUGCUCGAAAGUGUGGGUAUCGAACAGGAUUAGAUACCCGGGUAGUC